AGAGUUUGAUCAUGGCUCAGGACGAACGCUGGCGGCGUGCCUAACACAUGCAAGUGGAGCGACGAACCAGGCUUAGGCCUGGGGCUAAGCCGCGAACGGGUGAGUAACACGUGGGUAACCUGCCCCGAUGAUUGGGACAACCCGAGGAAACUCGGGCUAAUACCAAAUGUGUCCUCCGGCCAUAAGGCCGCUGGGGAAAGGAAGCUUCGGCCUCCGCAUCGGGAUGGGCCCGCGGCCCAUUAGCUUGUUGGUGAGGUAACGGCUCACCAAGGCGACGAUGGGUAGCUGGUCUGAGAGGACGAUCAGCCACACUGGGACUGAGACACGGCCCAGACUCCUACGGGAGGCAGCAGUGGGGAAUCUUGCGCAAUGCGCGAAAGCGUGACGCAGCAACGCCGCGUGGGGGAAGAAGGCCUUCGGGUUGUAAACCCCUUUCAGUUGGGACGAAGCUUCGCCGGUGAAUAGCCGGCUGGAGUGACGGUACCUUCAGAAGAAGCCCCGGCUAACUACGUGCCAGCAGCCGCGGUAAUACGUAGGGGGCAAGCGUUGUCCGGAAUCAUUGGGCGUAAAGAGCGUGUAGGCGGCUCGGUAAGUCCGCUCUGAAAGCCCGGGGCUCAACCCCGGGAGGCGGGCGGAUACUGUCGGGCUAGAGUCCGGAAGAGGCGAGUGGAAUUCCUGGUGUAGCGGUGAAAUGCGCAGAUAUCAGGAGGAACACCAAUGGCGAAGGCAGCUCGCUGGGACGGUACUGACGCUGAGACGCGAAAGCGUGGGGAGCAAACAGGAUUAGAUACCCUAGUAGUCC
RNAcentral lists this ribosomal RNA (802 nucleotides) under uncultured bacterium. Its description in RNAcentral is "bacterial SSU rRNA". It matches the Rfam family "Bacterial small subunit ribosomal RNA", at positions 8 to 796 of the family's 1533-position model. The record is from RNAcentral.